GUUUGUGUGGCGCCUUUUGCGGGGAGGACAGCCGCUCUCACUUUGCGACACUUGUUUACAAGGUCGCGUAAGAUUGUCAUUUAUCGUCCCAAAUGACCUCCCGUGUCCCGGUGCCGUUAGAAUCACGCGGUCAGCUCGAGAUGAACGUGGUUCGUUUGUGAACCGUGAUGAGGAUAAGAGCCUGGUUUCAUAACCUUCGUAAGGACGCAGGGGAGCCAGCACUGCGUCACGUGGAACUGGAUGUCCUCAUUCCGAAGCUAAUGAGAGAGAAGGCCAGGGAGCGCUGUGCAGAUAAGGUGGAAGCCUUUAGCCACUGCUGUAAGGAGAGUGGUUUCCUGAUGGUGGUUAAGUGUCAGGAGCAGAACGCAGCGCUCAAGGAGUGCCUGUCUACGCACUACAAGGAUCCAGGAUUUCAAGAAGAGUGCAAACAGCAAUAUGUAAAAGAGAAGGAGGAGUUUCAGAAGACUGGCAUCCCAGCAAAGAACAGGAAACAGAAACUGCCCACCAGCAUGUAGUGCCAGGAGGCGGGGUCACCCACGGGAACGCCACCCCUCCCAGUCCAGCUCAGAGAUGGAGAUGGUCGCCUGUACCUGCUGACGCUUUGGAGUUUUUGCUGGGGAUUCCCGAAAAUCUGUUUUUCAAGCUUCAGUUUGGUGCCCAGUUCAUAGAGUUUUUGUUAGGCUUCUGUGAGAAGAGACGGUGAAAUUGGCCAUUAUUACGGCGAAUCAUUGCAUUUCCAUCAGUAAUUUCAGAGAAUGGCAAGGCAUAGGUUAGCAAAAAGAGUAAGAAAAAUCUUUUAUUUUUGUGGAAAAUAAAAUGUCACAUUUCUGUGCAAAGAA
This is an RNA transcript of Paramormyrops kingsleyae, 839 nucleotides long. It is a transcript of the gene named C-x(9)-C motif containing 1, with no coding region annotated. The record is from RefSeq and is a predicted model, not a curated record. NCBI's taxonomy places the organism in Eukaryota, Metazoa, Chordata, Actinopteri, Osteoglossiformes, Mormyridae.